Molecule: ribosomal RNA, 660 nt
Filed under: Roseovarius sp.
Lineage: Bacteria; Pseudomonadati; Pseudomonadota; Alphaproteobacteria; Rhodobacterales; Roseobacteraceae
Description: bacterial SSU rRNA
Rfam family: Bacterial small subunit ribosomal RNA
Source: RNAcentral
GAAGGGGGGGCAGCUACACAUGCAGUCGAGCGAACCUUCGGGUUAGCGGCGGACGGGUGAGUAACGCGUGGGAACGUACCCUCUUCUGCGGGAUAGCCACUGGAAACGGUGAGUAAUACCGCAUACGCCCUUCGGGGGAAAGAUUUAUCGGAGGAGGAUCGGCCCGCGUUGGAUUAGGUAGUUGGUGGGGUAAUGGCCUACCAAGCCUACGAUCCAUAGCUGGUUUUAGAGGAUGAUCAGCCACACUGGGACUGAGACACGGCCCAGACUCCUACGGGAGGCAGCAGUGGGGAAUCUUAGACAAUGGGCGCAAGCCUGAUCUAGCCAUGCCGCGUGAGUGACGAAGGCCUUAGGGUCGUAAAGCUCUUUCGCCAGAGAUGAUAAUGACAGUAUCUGGUAAAGAAACCCCGGCUAACUCCGUGCCAGCAGCCGCGGUAAUACGGAGGGGGUUAGCGUUGUUCGGAAUUACUGGGCGUAAAGCGCACGUAGGCGGAUUGGAAAGUUGGGGGUGAAAUCCCAGGGCUCAACCCUGGAACUGCCUCCAAAACUCCCAGUCUGGAGUUCGAGAGAGGUGAGUGGAAUUCCGAGUGUAGAGGUGAAAUUCGUAGAUAUUCGGAGGAACACCAGUGGCGAAGGCGGCUCACUGGCUCGAUACUGACG